GGAAAAACUAUCUGCCAAGGAAAAGCAAGGGAAAUAUUGUGUCCAACAGACAAUCCUCCUCCAACAGACAAUCCUCCUCCAACCCUCAUAAAGUUGGAAGCCUUGUACUCUGAGGAUGCCUAGUGUUAGAUAUUUAGCCCUCAUAAGUUCCAUUGUCUUAUUUUGUCAAUCGUCUUCUGGAAGUGAGCCAACUUCUGCUCCAGUGUUGUUUUUUUUUUUGGGUUUCUGUUUGUAAUUUUUUUUCACCAUUG
This 251-nucleotide unclassified non-coding RNA is filed under the name Hevea brasiliensis (rubber tree). The record is from RNAcentral. Lineage: Eukaryota; Viridiplantae; Streptophyta; Magnoliopsida; Malpighiales; Euphorbiaceae.